RNAcentral lists this ribosomal RNA (253 nucleotides) under uncultured bacterium. RNAcentral describes it as "partial 16S ribosomal RNA". It matches the Rfam family "Bacterial small subunit ribosomal RNA", at positions 524 to 776 of the family's 1533-position model. The record is from RNAcentral.
UACGUAGGAUGCGAGCGUUGUCCGGAUUCAUUGGGCGUAAAGAGCACGCAGGCGGUUUGGCAAGUCGGAUGUGAAAUCCCGAAGCUCAACCUCGGGCGUGCAUCCGAAACUGCCCGACUAGAGGUAGGUAGGGGAGAUCGGAAUUCCUGGUGUAGCGGUGAAAUGCGCAGAUAUCAGGAGGAACACCGGUGGCGAAGGCGGAUCUCUGGGCCUUACCUGACGCUCAGGUGCGAAAGCUAGGGGAGCGAACAGG